AACAAGGUAUCCGUACCGGAAGGUGCGGAUGGAUCACCUCCUAACAGGGAGACAACACAAAGAUUUUGAUGUCUGAGUAAUUUAUUCUUAGGCCGAAAUCCUGUCACCUUAGGUCGAUCGGUACCUCAGCGUUGAAGCAACAGAGUUAACAGAGAUGUUGAUGCGUGUUGUGGAGAUGAUCAGUUCCUAAACUUUGUCUAGGUCACACCCCACAAGGGUUGAGUUUUCCUGGGCCAUUAGCUCAGGUGGUUAGAGCGCACCCCUGAUAAGGGUGAGGUCCCUGGUUCAAGUCCAGGAUGGCCCAUUCGGUGUUGGGGGUUUAGCUCAAUUGGUAGAGCGCCUGCUUUGCAAGCAGGAUGUCAGGAGUUCGAGUCUCCUAACCUCCACUGACCGAACUCAAUCUCCGGUUUUGCAUUGAAAGAUGGAGAGCCACUCGAUUGUGAAGUGUGAUUUAGAUGUGUCCGCUGGAUGACCCCAGCUUCCUGUCAUUCCAAAUCGAAGUAAAGGAUUUUACUUGAACGAAUUUGGUUGAUAAGAUGCUGGGCUCGAUUUCAAUGAUCAAGAGAUUGAUCAUUGGAUUUGCA
This 584-nucleotide transfer RNA is filed under the name Synechococcus sp. YX02-3. Its description in RNAcentral is "partial contains 16S ribosomal RNA, 16S-23S ribosomal RNA intergenic spacer, and 23S ribosomal RNA". The stretch from base 314 to 386 matches the Rfam family "tRNA". The record is from RNAcentral. Lineage: Bacteria; Bacillati; Cyanobacteriota; Cyanophyceae; Synechococcales; Synechococcaceae.